This is a long non-coding RNA of Tachysurus fulvidraco (yellow catfish), 164 nucleotides long. RefSeq lists it as uncharacterized. NCBI's taxonomy places the organism in Eukaryota, Metazoa, Chordata, Actinopteri, Siluriformes, Bagridae. The record is from RefSeq and is a predicted model, not a curated record. The transcript is spliced from 2 exons.
AGAGAGAGAGAGAGAGAGAGAGAGAGAGAGAGAGAGAGAGAGCACUGCUAAAAGGACAGAAGAUUAAAAGGUCAGACUUUGUGGUGUAAAGAUGGCCAGUGCUCCUUUACCUUUCACUAAUGUGGGAAGCGGCUACACCGUCGUCACUCAAGUUAUUCCCUCAG